AAAUCGACCUCAGAGGCAGCCAGAGGCGAGUGAAGUCGAUGGAGCUGCUGCCAAAAACGAGGCCUGCGACUGAAGCCAGCGAUGGUGAGUUAAUCUAAGCCUGGAUUUAUGGCAGCGGAGACAGCACGUGGCCUGGGACAUCCACGCUACUGCUCUGCAAAGGAGGUCUGGGACACUGAGAGAAUGCAGCUGGGAACUGACACAAGCAACCCUGCCAAGGAGCAAGGUAAACCACUGUGCUCAUCACCACGGGCUAUACAGCUACAGGAAAGCAGUUCUCUCACAGGUGGAGCAGCUCUAUUGGCAUGGUGAGGUGUACCACCUUUAGGUGGUAUUUUAAAGGGAUGCUGGCUCUGCUCCACCUGUGCCCGUCAGGCUUUCCUGUGAAAUGGGUACCGAUUUGAUGGAGGAUGCAUCCAGCAGCAAGCCAUCAUCCUGCUGGGGAGGAUGAGCACUGCCUGAGCCUGGACGCGUCCACGAGCCUGCCUGGCAGAUGGUGAACGAGAUGGCAAGUCAUCAGAGAGCUGUGCAGAGAAACUUGCCAAAAGGUGGUUCUGGUACAAGCUCCAGGUGAGCCGCCUGCAGCAGUGGAGUCAUGCGAGGGCAAAGGGUGUGAACAUGAGUCCUGGUGGAGAGGAGAGCUGCCUGAGCCGGAGAAGCGGGCUGGGAAGUGCCGGCUCCUGCGGCAGGGUGGUAAGCCACGAGCGGGGAGCAGCCCUGCCAGCUGCUGCACUGUGAGAGGGAAAGUAAACAGGGCUGGCGGAGGCAUCAGAGGCUGAACUUCGUGAACUCCUACCCGAUGGAGCUACACCAACAAUUAACUCAGUGCAAUUACUUGUGCAGGAGUGCACUGGAAAUUAUUGCAAGAUGGAUCAAGCCAUUAGCAAUAGAAAAUACAGCAUUGCAAAACUCCAAACGCUGCCUUCCAAGUGUUAUUCACCCACUUUCCACUGAAAUUAAUAGAAAUAAUAUAAAUAGGGUGCUUGGAUUCCUGCCGGGUCACUGAAACAAGCAGCAGAGGCAUAGCCUCUGGAUGUGCCUGCUCAAGAGUAAACUGUCAGUGCUGAGUGGCGAGAGAUGACUUAGGCUGGAAACAGUUCUUGUGCUUCUGCUUUCCCCCAAACUUCUGCUGUUGACAACAUUUUGCUGUUUCUCUUGGCAAAUAUAUUUCUCUAGCUUCUGUUUGGGGAAUGUUGGGGCUUGCUGCUGCUACAGAAACUUCAGUUUUCCUAUGGAAACCUAUAAAUUUUCUGAUUCAUGUUUCCAUCAAGUUUAGUCCUGGGUAAACAUUGUGUAACGUUAGCAUUCAUCAGUGAACUUGCACAAUCCCCUUGAAAAAAUAUUAAAGAAAAAUACUGUUUCCAGUCUAGAAUGAAUAUUACAGCCAAAGAAAAGAUCUUUUAUGUAAAACAGAAUUUCCCUCUCUUUCAGAAAUUAAUGAUCUAUUCACAAGUAUACAGUUUACUUUUCAGUGUAUUACCGCAUGAUUCGUGAAGUGCUGAUGCAGUGAAGGCUAACUGCUGCACUCUUUCUGAGGAGCUGUCUGCCUGCAUUGACAUUUACAUAGAACUUAGCCUUUUUGUAAAGCAGGACCUUUACGUGCCUUUAUCUUCCUACUUGUGUGUUUCCGUUCCCAUCAGUCACCCCUUCUGAGAGACAGCUGCAUUAGUUCUGAGCUUGUAUCUAAUUAUGCAUCACAGCGCAGUUACUAAAGAAGCAUAUGAGGUUUAUGAAACAUCAUUUUAGGAGGUGCUCCAAACAGAGAAGAGAUUAUACAAGUCACUGUUUCCAAAGGGGAUUAUGGAAAAGCAGGCUUCAGCUGGCAAAAAAGACCAAACUGUUGGACUGUGCUCCCUGCAACAGUGGCGGAAGAAGAGAUCCCAUCCCCAGCAGGGCUGAGCACCUGCCACUGCUGCCGGAAAAGCAGAGAAGGCACAGGGCAUCCCAUGGGAUCAAGGAACUGGAGGAGCAGCACAGGACAGGGAUUGCUUCCAACUAAAGGAAUCUGCUGUAUGUGAGCAAGGUCUAGCAGCAAAGUGUGGAGUCCAGGAAAUGAUUUCUGGCAAGGAGUAUAAGCUUUCCUUUUGAGAGGAGUGCAGUUAUUGCUCCAUUGUUCUCAUAGUUCCCUCCUAACUUAGCCUUGGCUGUGUCUCCAGUGAGAAAGUCCUGCUGGGAAAAUAAAGGAAUUUAAGAGCACGGGGGAAAAAAUAUCAGAAGUCAUGUAAAUCAUUUCAAGAAGUUAAUUUAAGAGCUAAGAACAUGAUAAUAGCUGUAUAUUUUUGCUUUAAAAGGGCCUAACGGUAGUGAAAUUAAGCAGUGGAAGUUUUUGGUAGGAACUAUGUGAAAAUAUAAAUCUCUGUAUGUUAGCAAAUGCCAGGGUCUAACAGCAGAGCACCUACUGAUUUACAUUUUCUUGUUUACUUUGUUCAAAAUAUUUAGCACCAGGCCCGUGAUCUGUGUUUCGAAGAAAGACAACAAAAAUUCUCUUGUUCCUACCCUGCCAUAGAGCCUGAUUUUCCAGUCACGUGGCAGGUUUUCUGUGAAACUAAAUCCAUGGACUCGAUUGAAGCAUUUAUACCAGGGAGAGCAGAAAAUCAAGCCCAUAGGCUAACGUUUUCAAAACAUAUCUAAAAUUAGGUGCCUAUUUCCAUAAUUAGGAAUUUCAGUAGAGGUGAGCAGGUUUUUAAAAAUGCUAUGGAUUCUGCCAAAGUCAAUGGGAUCUGAAGAUUAAUUUUCCUUUUAAAAUCAGGUUGUUCUUAUUUAAAUGCCCAAAUAUUGCAGGCCAGUGCUGAACAUCCUGGGUUGAAGGUUUUCAUUUCCUAUCCCUUUCUGUAACUGUGUCAGUAUGUACCCAGUACACAGAGUCUCAUCACGUAGUGCUCUGUAUUAUAUGAAUAUAGUCCAUCUUGCCAGACUUUGAUACGACAGUCUGUUUGGGGAUUCAAAAUGAAAAGAUUAGAGGAAUUUAUUUUCCUCUCUUUGAUCCUGAGAUGAGCCAAAACGUAACUGGGAGAGGCCUAAGGGCUGCUCAAAAUUAUGCUGGUGAGAACAGUAGUGGAGGAACUUGUGCACAGGCAAAGAAUAACUUGUGAUAAGCACAGAACAGAACCACCUCCGUGGCUCCCACCAACAAGAUCUUCCUGCCUCUCGGGUAAGGGUGAAAGGAUCCCGUGGAUGAGCUCUGGGUGCGCUGCCUUACUGCCCCUGUAGUAUCUCUGUGACAUCACAGGCCGUGCUGCCUGGAAACUCU
This is a long non-coding RNA of Cygnus olor (mute swan), 3250 nucleotides long. RefSeq lists it as uncharacterized. The transcript has 4 exons. Lineage: Eukaryota; Metazoa; Chordata; Aves; Anseriformes; Anatidae. The record is from RefSeq and is a predicted model, not a curated record.